AGAGAGACCGGAACUUCCCGUGCUCAUAGCCUUUUCGAUUCCUGUCGAUCUCUAUGACACUUGGAUCGAAAGACUGUAAGUUGUGGUGUUUGCUUAGAAUGAGUUAGAGUCUAAGCCAUUUAAUAAAGCCGUACAGGUUGACUCAGUUAACCCGGGAAGUACCGGCUAGGCUAAGACUCUGGCUUGUACUUAGUGAACAACCAUUCCCGUUUCUUUUAGCCCAGGGAUCGGACAUCCGCCGAGAGGGCUAAGUUGUUUU
Molecule: long non-coding RNA, 259 nt
Filed under: Sorghum bicolor (sorghum)
Lineage: Eukaryota; Viridiplantae; Streptophyta; Magnoliopsida; Poales; Poaceae
Description: long non-coding RNA (SBIC_LNC018800)
Source: RNAcentral